Molecule: non-coding RNA, 547 nt
Organism: Kogia breviceps (pygmy sperm whale)
Lineage: Eukaryota; Metazoa; Chordata; Mammalia; Artiodactyla; Physeteridae
Source: RefSeq, a predicted model, not a curated record
AAAUGAACUUUAUACAGUGUGCAAUUUGACUCUGCCAUGCCAGCUGGAAUACACCUUUAGGAGCUGAGUAGGUUCUCAGGCCUUUGGCCUCAGACUGGGCAUUACAUCAUCAGCAACCCUGCUUCUCAAGCCUUCAGCCUUGGACUGAAUUAUUCCGCUGUCUUUCCUAGGUCUUCACCUUGCAGACAUCAGAACCUGGGACUUCUUGGCCUCCAUAAUCGCGCAGUGAGAAGAGAAGCCUGAGAAGAUGCUUCUGGCCUGAGGCAUUCUCUGUGUUGUGAUAUUUUCCUGUUUCUGUGAUGGCCUCAGUGUAUGAGCAUAUUGACUGAGGGCCUUCAUAUGAUGAAAAGGUCAUGUCCUGGGAGAAAGGAAAUGAGCCCCAAUGCUUUGUCUUAUCACUUCGAGGAAGAGAUGGCCAGAGAGAAUGAACCUCCUAUUCCUAUCCUGGGGUCUGCUAACCCUGAGAAACCACCUCCUUGGAAAGUGUUCAGGACUUCCUCAGUUUCUCUAAUGCAAACGAAUACUCACCAGUGCCACAGAGACACGU